GACGAACGCUGGCGGCGUGCCUAAUACAUGCAAGUUGAGCGCUGAAGGUUGGUACUUGUACCGACUGGAUGAGCAGCGAACGGGUGAGUAACGCGUGGGGAAUCUGCCUUUGAGCGGGGGACAACAUUUGGAAACGAAUGCUAAUACCGCAUAAAAACUUUAAACACAAGUUUUAAGUUUGAAAGAUGCAAUUGCAUCACUCAAAGAUGAUCCCGCGUUGUAUUAGCUAGUUGGUGAGGUAAAGGCCCACCAAGGCGAUGAUACAUAGCCGACCUGAGAGGGUGAUCGGCCACAUUGGGACUGAGACACGGCCCAAACUCCUACGGGAGGCAGCAGUAGGGAAUCUUCGGCAAUGGACGAAAGUCUGACCGAGCAACGCCGCGUGAGUGAAGAAGGGUUUCGGAUCGUAAAACUCUGUUGGUAGAGAAGAACGUUGGUGAGAGUGGAAAGCUCAUCAAGUGACGGUAACUACCCAGAAAGGGACGGCUAACUACGUG
This 497-nucleotide ribosomal RNA is filed under the name uncultured bacterium. RNAcentral's name for it is "partial 16S ribosomal RNA". It matches the Rfam family "Bacterial small subunit ribosomal RNA", at positions 28 to 507 of the family's 1533-position model. The record is from RNAcentral.